GACGAACGCUGGCGGCGUGCUUAACACAUGCAAGUCGAACGGAAAGGCCCUGCUUUUGUGGGGUGCUCGAGUGGCGAACGGGUGAGUAACACGUGAGUAACCUGCCCUUGACUUUGGGAUAACUUCAGGAUACUGGGGCUAAUACCGGAUAGGAGCUCCUGCUGCAUGGUGGGGGUUGGAAAGUUUCGGCGGUUGGGGAUGGACUCGCGGCUUAUCAGCUUGUUGGUGGGGUAGUGGCUUACCAAGGCUUUGACGAGUAGCCGGACUGAGAGGGUGACCGGCAACAGUGGGACUGAGAUUGGGCCACGACUCAGACGGGAGGGAGCAGUGGCAGAGAGUGCAAAUGGGGCGGAAGCCUGAUGCAGAAACGGCGAUUGCGGGAGAAUGGUCAUCGGGUUAGAGUCGUAUUUCGCCUGUGACGGAGAGGAAGAGACGGGAAUGGGUAGAGUAGGCCCGGCCUACUACCGU
Molecule: ribosomal RNA, 468 nt
Filed under: uncultured bacterium
Lineage: Bacteria
Description: partial 16S ribosomal RNA
Rfam family: Bacterial small subunit ribosomal RNA
Source: RNAcentral